This is a long non-coding RNA of Phyllopteryx taeniolatus (common seadragon), 391 nucleotides long. RefSeq lists it as uncharacterized. The transcript has 2 exons. The record is from RefSeq and is a predicted model, not a curated record. Lineage: Eukaryota; Metazoa; Chordata; Actinopteri; Syngnathiformes; Syngnathidae.
GGACCAAUUUUUCCUCCCCAUCGUUUCUUCCAACUUCCACUGCCGUGAUGCUCGCUGCGGCCCCGCAAGCUUUUCUCGCGUCACUCGUGGCGCUGGCGAGCGGCCAAGACGACGAGAGACCUUACGUCGUCUUACAGAAGCAAAACUUGGUCGCGCUCGGGAGCGUCCUCGGCGUCCUCCUGCUGCUGAUGACCAUCAUGGCCGUGUGCGUCUACAAGCCUCUCUCCGGGCGCUGAGCGAGCCACCACUCCGAUGAUCAUCCAAAACAAUUCAAGUGCAAUCACUGUUCGGGUUGUAUACGGUUGAUUAUUUAUUUGGAGCGAUGAGGACUAGCUGUCAAUGCACCUCGUUGACCUCACAAUGUCAAUAAAUGCUUCGGGUGUUUUCCGCA